AGAGUAUAGCUCAGUAGUAGAGUGCGUGCUUAGCAUGCAUGAGGUCCUGGAGUCAAUCCCCAGUAACUCCA
Molecule: transfer RNA, 71 nt
Filed under: Camelus bactrianus (Bactrian camel)
Lineage: Eukaryota; Metazoa; Chordata; Mammalia; Artiodactyla; Camelidae
Also listed under: 2 other names
Rfam family: tRNA
About the family: Transfer RNA (tRNA) molecules are approximately 80 nucleotides in length. Their secondary structure includes four short double-helical elements and three loops (D, anti-codon, and T loops).
Source: Rfam by way of RNAcentral